This 112-nucleotide ribosomal RNA is filed under the name Enterococcus hirae. RNAcentral's name for it is "partial 23S ribosomal RNA". It matches the Rfam family "Bacterial large subunit ribosomal RNA", at positions 2815 to 2925 of the family's 2925-position model. Lineage: Bacteria; Bacillati; Bacillota; Bacilli; Lactobacillales; Enterococcaceae. The record is from RNAcentral.
AUUUCUUUAAGAAAGUAAGAUCCCUGAGAGAUGAUCAGGUAGAUAGGUCAGGAGUGGAAGUACAGUGAUGUAUGGAGCGGACUGAUACUAAUCGAUCGAGGACUUAACCACA